Molecule: ribosomal RNA, 492 nt
Filed under: uncultured bacterium
Lineage: Bacteria
Description: partial 16S ribosomal RNA
Rfam family: Bacterial small subunit ribosomal RNA
Source: RNAcentral
AGUGAACGCUGGCGGUAGGCCUAACACAUGCAAGUCGAACGGAAGCACAGUAAGAGCUUGCUCUUACGGGUGGCGAGUGGCGGACGGGUGAGGAAUACAUCGGAAUCUACUUUUUCGUGGGGGAUAACGUAGGGACACUUACGCUAAUACCGCAUACGACCUACGGGUGAAAGCAGUGGAUCUUCGGACCUUGCGCGAUUGAAUGAGCCGAUGUCGGAUUAGCUAGUUGGCGGGGUAAAGGCCCACCAAGGCGACGAUCCGUAGCUGGUCUGAGAGGAUGAUCAGCCACACUGGAACUGAGACACGGUCCAGACUCCUACGGGAGGCAGCAGUGGGGAAUAUUGGACAAUGGGCGCAAGCCUGAUCCAGCCAUACCGCGUGGGUGAAGAAGGCCUUCGGGUUGUAAAGCCCUUUUGUUGGGAAAGAAAAGCAGCAUGUUAAUACCCCGCUGUUCUGACGGUACCCAAAGAAUAAGCACCGGCUAACUUCGUG